Molecule: long non-coding RNA, 2640 nt
Organism: Paramisgurnus dabryanus
Lineage: Eukaryota; Metazoa; Chordata; Actinopteri; Cypriniformes; Cobitidae
Source: RefSeq, a predicted model, not a curated record
GCUGCCGAUCAAACCUAGUGUCUUGGACAAAUGGGGAAGUAGUGUCUAGCAAACCAUUAGCUUAUUUCAAGGAGUAACUUAAAGCAAAAUAAUAUCAAUUAUAAUUUAAGUAGGAAUGAAUAUACUACGAUAUUAAGAAUGUGACAUGCUAAAUUCAACGCAUCAUGCAGAUUAUUGAUCGAGAGAGCUUCGACAAACGUUUAACUAGACAGAGAAGCAGCUCUUGCUUGUGUUUUAUUACUCGACAGUGUGGACCAUCAACAUCAACUCCUUACAAAAGACCUGGAAACCCUAUCUAGCAUGGCUUCGUCCAUUGACUCACUAUCAGACAGAGAUCAGUGUUUUCAGGAGCCUGGAAUAAAGACGUUUAUAUGGCAGAAAGUGAUGCAGCUCUUACCCGUCAGGUGAAUCUUAGAUGUUUUACUAUGUAAAGAUGUGUUUUAUAAUCAUUUUAUCAUAAAAGCGAGCAUCACAAUCAACAGAUUACAGUCUUGCAUAACCAACCAAAACCAGUGUUAUGCAUCCUGCCAUUAUAAACCAAUGUAUUUUUUCUGUGGAGUGUUGUGUAGUUUUUCCCCAAGAUGAGCUUCCAUGGAUGAGUCCACCAUUACUGUGAAUGAAGAUGCCAAUGAUCUUCAGAAAACUGUGUCGUAUUGCAAUUUUACAAAACCUUUUUGUUGCUUGUUGUGUAGUUAGCUGUAAAAUUAUGUGGUUUUGGGUGGGUAAUGUUUGCACGCUGGCUGUCAGUUGUAUGUGCAGGCAUUUCGAGAUGCCUUGGAAACUAGGUGCCACCACUCUGGGCACUACGCGACUGUUUAUGUAAUUCACACGGCUUGUGGGUGCUGUCAUGAAUGUGCGUAUGCUGGCUGAUAGUUGUUUUUCUGAGAGUUUGCCUGAGCUAUAAAUUAAUAGAAAUAAUAUAAUUCUUGAAUUUUGUUUAUCUUAUAUUAUUAUUUUAGUGGGUAGACUGGUCACUGUAAAUACUGAUGCAGGUUGUGGCCUUGGUUGUGUUUGUAAGAAUUAAGAGUUCCUGGUUUUCAAAUAUUGUUGAAAUAAAUUAGAUUUAAACAUUACUCAGUCUACUCGCUAAAAUAAUAAGAUAAACAAAAUGAGAAAAAAAAUAAUUCUUUUAUUUCUAUUCAUUCAUAUCUCAGGCAAAUUCAUAAUUGGUUCUGCCCCUGUAGUGGUGGCAUCUCAAGGGUAACCGUGGCAUCUCGGAAUGCCGGCACCUACACACGACUGUCAGCCAGUGCACACAAUGACAGCACCCACAAGCUACGUGAAUUACACAAAUGGCUGCGUAUGCCUCAAAGUGCCCAGAGUGGUGGCAUCUUGUUCCCGUGGCAUCUCGAAAAUGCCCGCACCUACACAUAACUGACAGCCAGCAUGCAAACAUUAUGACAGCAGCCACAAGCCGCAUAAUUUAACAGCAAACUACACAACAAGGGCACAGAACGAGUGCCAAUACCUACAAAUGAUGACACCAAGUGCACACAAUCAGUGUCAUUAUCUAAAAUAACUGAGGCUAACCAGAAGUGCCACCCCUAAAUGACACAAAAACUGUCAGCUGCCUCAGAAAGUCACUGGCAGCUCAGGCUGUGACCAGAAGUGCCACUACUAGAUGCCACUGUCACGAUUUGAGCUUGGCCCUACUGGGAUAUUGUGUACAGUGAAUUACACAAACAUUUUAUGUUGUUAUUUAUCAUUAUUGUUAGUAAUACUAUUAUAAUUUAUAUGUAUUGUUAUUAUUAUUAUUAUUACUAUUACAUUUGCAGGAUUGAUUGCAAAGACCCAGAUGAUUCAACAUGGGGAAUAGACAGUGAUGACAGCACUUCUGAUGUCCCCUCUAUCUGUCUUUGGUUUGUCUGCAAGCAUCAUGUUGUUUUGGCUUGAUAAAAGCAGACAUAUUAUGUAAAACCAGAAUUAUAAACUGUCAGAAUUAUAGAAUGACUGACUGACCUUUUUUGCUUUUUACUUCUAGGCCCACUCAUUGUCAUUACACCUAUUUUAGAUCAAAUUAAAAUGAUAGUAAUAAACAGCACAUGCUAAUUUUAAUUGUUGUAAAUGUUUUUUUUUAUAAAUACAGAACAGGUGAAGCCGCCCCUUCCUGUCCCUUUUCCUUUUACUUGUGUCUGCACCUUUAGGUCUUCCCUGUGAUGCUUCAUGCCAGCUGCUCUGAAGAGGACGCCUGGUCUCGUCAGCUUUUCACAUGGAUCAGUCCAGUAAAGAGCUAUCGGUGUCUCCCUGCAACAUAGUCAAAUGUCAUCAAAACAAAUACAAUUGUUCAUACAGAUAUCACCUUAUAGCUGACAUACAGAGGUGUAUUUACUUGAAAAACUAUGAAGUGUUUUUAAUAUUACAUAACUAUUUAGAGUGCAUUAUCUUGGAUAAUAAUAAAGUUGCAAUUCAUUAUGCUUUAUUUUACAUAUAAAAAAUGUUGUUUUCUUGAAGACAAAUGUUUUUGUAAGUACAGUAUUGCAUUUGAUUUUUAUUGAUUUAUUUACACUGUUUAACUUGUCAGGUGAAGUAUGGCAUGUAAAUAAUUACACUUAACGUUAGUGUUUACUAGCGCUGGGCAUAGAUUAAUCUAGAUUAGUCUCAUACAAAAUAAAAGUAAUUUUUUGCAUAAUAUAUGGUUUU